This 292-nucleotide ribosomal RNA is filed under the name uncultured bacterium. RNAcentral's name for it is "partial 16S ribosomal RNA". The record is from RNAcentral.
GGACUACUGGGGUUUCUAAUCCUGUUUGCUCCCCAUGCUUUCGUGUCUGAGCGUCAGGCAACCCCCAGCCCGCCGGCUUCCCCUCUGGUAUUCUUCCCGAUCUCUACCCAUUUCACUGGUCCACCGGGAGUUCUACGGGCCUCUAGGUCCCUCAAGCGCCCUCGUAUCACGGGCCCCCUCCCAGGUAAGCCGGGAGAUUUCACCCGUGACGCAACGCGCCGCCUGCACACGCUUUACGCCCAGUAACUCCGGACAACGCUUGCAUCCUACGUAUUACCGCGGCUGCUGGCAC